RNAcentral lists this ribosomal RNA (715 nucleotides) under Priestia koreensis. RNAcentral describes it as "bacterial SSU rRNA". It matches the Rfam family "Bacterial small subunit ribosomal RNA", at positions 59 to 755 of the family's 1533-position model. Lineage: Bacteria; Bacillati; Bacillota; Bacilli; Caryophanales; Bacillaceae. The record is from RNAcentral.
CAGUCGAGCGGACUUGUUAGAAGCUUGCUUCUAUCAAGUUAGCGGCGGACGGGUGAGUAACACGUGGGUAACCUGCCUGUAAGAUGGGGAUAACUCCGGGAAACCGGAGCUAAUACCGAAUAACACUUUCGCUCGCAUGAGCGGAUGUUAAAAGACGGUUUCGGCUGUCACUUACAGAUGGACCCGCGGCGCAUUAGCUAGUUGGUGAGGUAACGGCUCACCAAGGCGACGAUGCGUAGCCGACCUGAGAGGGUGAUCGGCCACACUGGGACUGAGACACGGCCCAGACUCCUACGGGAGGCAGCAGUAGGGAAUCUUCCGCAAUGGACGAAAGUCUGACGGAGCAACGCCGCGUGAGUGAUGAAGGUUUUCGGAUCGUAAAACUCUGUUGUUAGGGAAGAACAAGUAUGAGAGUAACUGCUCGUACCUUGACGGUACCUAACCAGAAAGCCACGGCUAACUACGUGCCAGCAGCCGCGGUAAUACGUAGGUGGCAAGCGUUGUCCGGAAUUAUUGGGCGUAAAGCGCGCGCAGGCGGUUCCUUAAGUCUGAUGUGAAAGCCCACGGCUCAACCGUGGAGGGUCAUUGGAAACUGGGGAACUUGAGUGCAGAAGAGGAAAGCGGAAUUCCACGUGUAGCGGUGAAAUGCGUAGAGAUGUGGAGGAACACCAGUGGCGAAGGCGGCUUUCUGGUCUGUAACUGACGCUGAGGCGCG